AACGCACAUUGCGCCUGCCAGCAUUCUGGCAGGCAUGCCUGUCCGAGCGUCAUUUCCACCCUCACGCGCCCUGUGGCGCGUGGUGUUGGGGCCCGCUCUCCCUGCCCUGGCGCGGGAGAGGCCCUGAAAGCGAGUGGCGGGCCGCCUGGUCUGGCUCCGAGCGCAGUAGAAACGCACCUGUUUUUCCCCUCGCUCUGGACGCCGCCGGCGCGCCCUGCCGUCAAAACCCGCGCGCACCGCGUGCACACCUCACAAGGUUGACCUCGGAUCAGGUAGGACUACCCGCUGAACUUAA
This 295-nucleotide unclassified non-coding RNA is filed under the name uncultured fungus. Its description in RNAcentral is "partial contains 5.8S ribosomal RNA, internal transcribed spacer 2, and large subunit ribosomal RNA". Lineage: Eukaryota; Fungi. The record is from RNAcentral.